This 907-nucleotide ribosomal RNA is filed under the name uncultured archaeon. RNAcentral describes it as "bacterial SSU rRNA". It matches the Rfam family "Archaeal small subunit ribosomal RNA", at positions 1 to 862 of the family's 1478-position model. The record is from RNAcentral.
UUCCGGUUGAUCCUGCCGGACCCGACUGCUAUGGGGAUGGGACUAAGCCAUGCAAGUUCAACGGCAGUCAAUGUUCUGCCGUAGCGCACUGCUCAGUAACACGUAGUCAAUCUGCCCCGCGGAGGCGUAUAACCCCGGGAAACUGGGGAUAAUCCGCCAUAGGCGAUGGAUGCUGGAACGCACCACCGCCGAAAGGUUGCGGCAUCUACGGGCCGUACUCCGCCGCGGGAUGAGACUGCGCCCGAUUAUGGUAGAAGGCGGUGUAACGGACUCACCUUGCCUGUAAUCGGUACCGGCAAUGGGAGUUGGAGCCGGGAGAUGGGUACUGAGACAAGGACCCAGGCCCUACGGGGCGCAGCAGGCGCGAAAACUUCGCAAUGCGCGAAAGCGUGACGAGGUCAUCCCCAGUGCGCUCAAAGUGGGUGCUGUGGCGGAGUCUAACCAGCUCCGCAAGAAAAGAGAGGGAAAGGCUGGUGCCAGCCGCCGCGGUAAAACCAGCUCUCUGAGUGGUCGGGACUUUUGCUGCGCCUAAAACGUUCGUAGCCGGCUCCUUAAGUGCCUGGUUAAAUCCACGGGCUCAACCUGUGGCUCGCUGGGUAUACUGGGGAGCUUGAAGGCGGGAGAGGCCAGAUGUACUACAGGGGUACCGGUGAAAUGGGAUCAUCCUUGUAGGACAACCAGUGGCGAAGGCGUCUGGCUUGAACGCGCUUGACGGUGAGGAACGAAAGCUGGGGGAGCAAACCAGAUUAGAUACUCUAGUGAAAUACUCACCUGGGCUAAAAACCUGGGUAGUCCCAGCCGUAAACGAUGCCCGCUAGUGUUGGGAGAGCUACGGGCUCUGCCAGUGCCGCAGCGAAGCGUUAAGCGGGCUGCGGGGGAGUACGGUCGCAAGGCUGAAACUUAAAGG